ACCGCCACCCCAGUUCUGACACCCAGCCCCUAACGCACCCACCCACCUGGCACACUCAUCUCUCCUGCCCCCCUACCCCCACCCCUAGGAGAGGGGAUUCCAGGUUGUGGCUGGGGAGGGAAGGAACCUUCAGCAGAUUAAGCAGGAAGGCCGGGAGCCAGGACGCCUGGGUUCUCUCCCCGGCUCUGGGAGAGGAGCGGGGGCUGGUGGUUAGAGGAGGGGGGGGCUGGGAGCCAGGACUCCUGGGUUCUCUCCCCGGCUCUGGGAGGGGAGUGGGGGCUGGUGGUUAGAGCAGGGGGGGCUGGGAGCCAGGACUCCUGGGUUCUCUCCCCGGCUCUGGGAGGGGAGUGGGGGCUGGUGGUUAGAGCAGUGGGGGCUGGGAGCCAGGACUCCUGGGUUCUCUCCCUCAGUCCCGCAGGGUCAGAGCCAGCGCCUCACGGAUCUCAGCCGCGGCGCCCUCCUCUCCCUCUCCGUCCUCGAAGGGCUCUUCCUCCUCCUCCUCUUCCUCCACCAUCCAGCGGGGCUGGAAGACGUCGCCGUGCAUCUCGCAGACGUUGUGGAGGGUGGAGCAGGCGGCGAUCAGGGUGGGCAGGAAAGAGACGUCGGUGUCGUUGCGUUUCUGCAGGCAGCGCCAGCGACCCCUGAGGCGCCCGAAGGCCACCCCCACCACGGUGCGGGCGGCGGCGGCGUACUCGUUAAACCGCCUCUGGGCCGGCGUGAGCUCCCCGGCCCGGUAAGGCCUCAUCAGCCAGGGCAGCAGCGGGUAGGACGGGCCGGCCAGCAGGUAGACGGGCACCUGGACGCCUGCCACCUCCCGGGCCGCCCCGGGGAAGAGCUCCCCCCGCUGGGCGCGCUGGUAGAGCUCGGAGGCCCGCAGCACCUGGGCGUUGGUCUGCCUCCCGGGGCAGCCGACGUUGACGUCCCAGAAGCAGCCGCGGGCGUCGACGGCGGCCUGCAGCACCACCGAGUGCCAGCCCCGGCGGUUGAAGUACCCGGCGGCGUUCUCGUUGGGGGCCCGGAUGGGGAUGUGCAGGGCCCCCAGCACCCCGGCCAGCUGCGGCGGGGCGGGGAANNNNNNNNNNNNNNGCGGCGGGGCGGGGAAGCCGGCGGCCCGGGGCCCGGCCGGGGCGGCCACGUAGGCCGGGGUGAGGAUGGCCACCACGGCCUCGCAGACGUCGCGCAGGAUCUUGCAGACGGUGGAGCGGGAGACGCCGAACUGCUGCUCCACGGCCCGGUACUCGGUGCAGGCCCCCAGGCGCCAGAGGGUCAUGGCCAGGCGCACCUCGGCGGGGAUGGCCCGGCGCAUGUUGGUGUCCCGCCGCUGGAUGGCCCCCCGCAGGCGCCCGCAGAGGUAGUCGAAGGUGGCCGGGCCCAGGCGGAAGUUCUCGGCCCACUCGCCGGGCCCGAAGGCCUUGGCCCGCACCGUGUCCCAGAAGGCCGAGCUGCG
Molecule: long non-coding RNA, 1447 nt
Filed under: Gopherus agassizii (Agassiz's desert tortoise)
Lineage: Eukaryota; Metazoa; Chordata; Testudines; Testudinidae
Description: lncRNA (ENSGAGG00000001784.1)
Source: RNAcentral